Molecule: long non-coding RNA, 1774 nt
Organism: Callithrix jacchus (white-tufted-ear marmoset)
Lineage: Eukaryota; Metazoa; Chordata; Mammalia; Primates; Cebidae
Source: Ensembl
GAUAGGGAAUAGGCUUUGAUGGGUAACAAAUAUGCAACCAAAGAUGAAGAAAAAGUAAGUGUGUGUGUGUGUGUGUGUGUGUGUGUGUGUGUGUGUGGUCGAAUCCUUUUAAUAACCCCUGGGUAAAUAACCAGGCUCAGGACACUCUGUUGGACACAUGGUGGGUGAACAUUUUGGGUGAAAUAAUUUCUCCUCUUGUCAUUCUCCUUUACCACAGAGCAAGCCUGAGAGCAAUUUUAUUAAUGGGAGAAGGCGGACAGAAUGGGCACCAUCUUUACUGAGUUUGGAUGCCAGCUGUUCCUAGGAGCUGUUUGGGAAAGUUGUCUGUCGGCACUUGGUGACUUUGGGGACCUGUGUGAAGUUGCAUUCUUCUUUUUCAAGGGAAAGGGCUAACAAUUCACUGGUAGGUUGAAUUUGAAAGAAGCCUUACCACUAGGAGGAGGGAGCAGCCCCGAAUUCUAAUUUUCUCAGUGUCCAGGCAGCCCAAGGUGAGCUCUCAGUGUCAUUUUAGGACAGUCAUGCUUAAUGCACCAUAGAACCUCAAUAAAUUCUAGAAUAUAUAUUUCUAAACAGAUGAUCAGUGAUUGCUCUAGGGAAGUGGGGCUUUCUGAUCACUUUCAGAAGUAGGGAUUAAUUCAUGGUAGAUUUGUUUACAAAGCAGGGCUAUGCAUGAGUGAAAUACACCUAAUGAUGUGUGAUGCUAUCAUAUUGUACCUAUAGUAAUUUUGGCUGCUUUUCAAGCCUGACGUUGUCUGUGUCACUGCUUCUGAUGUUCAAAGCUUGCUUCUUAGUUUGUUAGAGGUUCCCCCCCUUUUCUUUUUCCUAAGGAACCUCUUAAAUUUAUUAUGGUUAGACACCUUCUUCCUCAAUGAUCUAUGUUCAAGUCGCACAGAUUAAAAUAUGCUCCUUUGACUAUGUGUGAGUGAUACUUCAAAGGAAUGUCUUGUCCAUAUUUACUGACCAGAUCAAGCAUCCGUCAUGCACCAUGUACACCACGGUGCACCACAGCUGAGACUCGUGUGGAUCCCACCAGCAGUGACUUUUCCAAAGGACCCAGACAAAUGCGUGGUAUUUCUGAGAGUAUCCUCUUCUGCAUCUUUAGGGUAAUCUACCUCGACACACAGAAAUGCAAUGAUCACAGAGGCCAGAAGGCUUCCCAGAAGUAGCCAAGGUAUCAACUUUGGGAUCCUGAAUUUCAGCCAAAGGAAACAGGACUGAGUGAAGCCUGAAAUCUUGAGGCAGUAAAACACAGAAAGGCAGGUGGCAAACCAGAGGCUGAUAGAGCUAAAAAACAUCCAAAAAAACAUCAUUGCUGCACCAUAAAUUUUUGCGAUAUAAAAGUUUGGAAAGAACACAGAGAAGAAACUUUGUACCAUUAACACCAUCAGCAGACCAAAUCUAGACAUCCCUAUGCACAUUAAGAGAAUUUGCAUUGGCAUUAGCUUUCUAUGUUUGAUCAAUUCAUUGCAGUUAACAAUGAUAAGAAAUCCAUUUACUGUGAUCCCCGUGAAGAAUUCUGCUGACAUGAUGAUAACAUGAAGAAUAGCUGAAAAAGAGAAGGCCAUGUUUCCUAGGACAAGUCUUGGCUUUUCCUUGUAGAUGGUCCUGAAUACUCCCUCCAGAUGAUCUUGCUGAUGGGAACACACAGCACCGAGAAAUCUGAUCUUCUGUCAGCUCCUGUGUCAUGGGUAGAGUCUUACACUAGCUUUUCCUCUAACGAAGAAAAUCAGAGACUACUUUUUGAAUCUGGUGCUCUUCAGAUGAAACUGGAGGA